GUGGGGAAUAUUGGGCAAUGGGCGCAAGCCUGACCCAGCAACGCCGCGUGAGGGAAGAAGGUUUUCGGAUUGUAAACCUCUGUCGCAGAUGACGAAGGAAGUGACGGUAAUCUGUGAGGAAGCCCCGGCUAACUACGUGCCAGCAGCCGCGGUAAUACGUAGGGGGCGAGCGUUGUCCGGAAUUACUGGGCGUAAAGGGAGCGUAGGCGGUCGAUUAAGUUGGAUGUGAAAUACCCGGGCUUAACUUGGGGGGUGCAACCAAUACUGGUUGACUAGAGUACAGGAGAGGAAAGCGGAAUUCCUAGUGUAGCGGUGAAAUGCAUAGAUAUUAGGAGGAACAUCGGUGGCGAAGGCGGCUUUCUGGACUGACACUGACGCUGAGGCUCGAAAGCGUGGGGAGCAAACAGGAUUAGAUACCCGAGUAGUCC
Molecule: ribosomal RNA, 428 nt
Filed under: uncultured bacterium
Lineage: Bacteria
Description: partial 16S ribosomal RNA
Rfam family: Bacterial small subunit ribosomal RNA
Source: RNAcentral